This 294-nucleotide ribosomal RNA is filed under the name uncultured bacterium. Its description in RNAcentral is "partial 16S ribosomal RNA". It matches the Rfam family "Bacterial small subunit ribosomal RNA", at positions 775 to 1067 of the family's 1533-position model. The record is from RNAcentral.
GGAUUAGAUACCCUGGUAGUCCACGCCGUAAACGAUGUCAACUAGCCGUCGGAUUCAUUUAGGAAUUUGGUGGCGCAGCUAACGCGAUAAGUUGACCGCCUGGGGAGUACGGCCGCAAGGUUAAAACUCAAAGGAAUUGACGGGGGCCCGCACAAGCGGUGGAGCAUGUGGUUUAAUUCGAUGCAACGCGAAGAACCUUACCAGCCCUUGACAUCCUCGGAACUUUCUAGAGAUAGAUUGGUGCCUUCGGGAACCGAGUGACAGGUGCUGCAUGGCUGUCGUCAGCUCGUGCCG